GAGAGAGAGAGAGAAUCUUUUUUUAAUAUUUAUUUAUUUAUUUUUUAGUUUUCAGCGGACACAACAUCUUUGUUUGUAUGUGGUGCUGAGGAUUGAACCCGGGCCGCACACAUGCCAGGCGAGCAUGCUACCGCUUGAGCCACAUCCCCAGCUCUCAUUAUUUAUUUAUUUAUUUUUAUAGUACUUUGACUAUGCUGGAACAUCAUGGUAUGGAAAAUUACAUGACUUGUUCAUUCCUGUGUCUUCUAGAGCUGUGUAAUUAUUCUAGCUACAAAAUGUUGUAAUAUACAACUGCAGAUGUGCUACAUGCUAUGAGUUCCUUUUUUUUUUUAACCCCUCUUGGUACUGGGAAUUGAACCUAGGGAUGCUUUACCACUGAGAUAUAUCCCCAGCCAUAUCUAUCUAUCUAUCUAUCUAUCUAUCUAUCUAUCUAUCUUAAAGACAGGGUCUUGUUAAGUGCCUUAGGGUCUUGCUAAAUUGCUGAGGCUGGCCUUGAAUUUAGGAUACUUCAGCUACAGCCUCUCUGGAGUCACUGGGAUUAAGGCAUGCAACACCAUGUUUGGCAAUGAGUUCAUUUUUAAGGUUAAAAGAAAAAGAAAAGAAUGAUAUUGCCUUCAAUUUUACUAAUUACAUUGACAGUAUUUUGGUUCCAUAGUUUAAUGCUUACUUAUACUUGUUAUCCUUUUAAUUAACGGAAGUUGGAUUGUAGUCCUCAAAUUCAUGUUGAAUUGAUGUUAGCUUGUUAUAUCUUUUAAAGUAGUCUGUUCUGAAACAGUCAAUGAAAAUAAAUCACUUUUUUUGGUAAUUUCAGUGCCUUUAAUUAAUGCAUUUAAAUCUUUUAAGUAAAAAAAGUCACUUUGGUAUAAGAUAAAAUAAAUCCUCCCAAUAAAUGAGUAUUUCAUCUUUUUGUCCAAUAGUUUUUAACAAGAGUUAAAGGUAGAGACACUUCUCAGUCUCUUUUUCCACUCAACUUGCUUAAACACACUUGCUUUGACCCUGUGCAAGAUUACAAAAAAAGGUAACAUUUGUCUUGGAUGCCUGUCUCUUCUCUCCUGAAGGCACUCUUGUCCAUGGGGGCCCAUCUCAGGUAUUCUAUUCUAGAUUUUUCUAUCAGAUCCUAGUACCUCAUUCUAAAAGGUCAUGGGUAUAAUAAUGUCUUUUCCAGCUUAACUUUACCUGUUUGGUGUUUAUUUUCCUUAAAAGCGUAGAAUAUGCUAGUUCAUUCCCUGUGCUUGUGGUACUCACAUUUGUACAAAUUUUAUAUCUCUUGAGAGUAUGAAUCAUCUUUUUCAUUUUUUAAGUUAUAAUAUUGUUGAAAAAAUUUGGAUUUUUUUUUCAGUCUGUUUCCACUGAUCAUAUUUUAUGUCAUGUCUGCACUACUUGAUGAAACAUAUGUUAGUGUCUUCCAUGUCAACAUUUAAGCAUUUAAGUGACCAGUCAGUGACUCGCUUCCCCAUAUUGAAAAUGAAGUGAGAGGCUGACACUUAAAGGUCACUUUUUUCAUGGAGGUAAGGAGGUAGAUCAGAAUUUAAUGAGGCUGUGUUUAACAUUCAUCUGGCACUGGCUGCAUCAUGAACAAAUCCUAGGCAUCAAAAUUUCUCCUGUAGCUUUGGGUUAAAAUAUUUGCUUAGUUGCCCUCUUCAAAACUGCAUGGGAGGGCUGGGGAUGUAGCUCAGUGGUUGAGUGCUUGCCUAGCAAGUGUGAGACACUGGGUUCGAUCCUCAGCAUCACAUAAAUUAAAUAAAUAAAACAAAGCUAUUUUGCCCAUCUACAACUAAAAAAAAUUUUUUUUGAGCUGCAUGGGAUUGAAGGGAAGGAAAAAGGGGAGGAUCAUGAUCUGAAAUCAAAUUCCAUGUAUGGAUGAGUUUGAUGGGAUGAACUCAAUUACUAUGUAAAACUAGAAAGCUCUAGUUUAAAAAGAAGGAGGGGGGGGAGAAGAAGAAGAUGAAACAGACUGAGGCCAUUCUCCUGAAGACAUUCCAUAAUGGGAAUUUUUUUAAAAAAUCCAAACAUUCACCCUUCCUUCCUUCCUUCCUUCCUUCCUUCCUUCCUUCCUUCCUUUUGCUGUGCUGAGGAUUAAACCCAGGCCUCAUGCAGGCAAGACUUCUUUCUACCACAGAGCCCCAGCCCUUCACUUUCUUAAUUGAAUAUUACAUAGUGAGAAAGAAAAAUGAAAUGGGAGCACAGAUACUUUGAAUAAGGAGUUUAUCUGCAAGAAGUUGGUGGGGGGUAGACUCUGAAAAUGUUAGUAAAAGUCAGUAUGGUUAAUCUAGUUCUCAAAAUAGAAAGCUGUGCUACCAAAUGUGUAAAGACUGUUUUGCCUAAUAAAAAAUGUCUACAUUGUUAUCAUGAUCAUUCUGUCUUAAGAUGUUCUCUUUAAAAUGUUCUUUUUUUCUGCAACACAGUCAUAUGAAAGCCUGGUGUUAAGCAAACCAAGUUUCUCUAGAUGAUAUAAUUUAAAACUUGUAAGGCUCAGGUUAAGGGACAGAAAAUGAAUUUAAAGGCAUUCUAGUGGUUCUUUUGCUUCAAUUAAGUUGAUAGUGCAUGCAUCUGGAGGAUGCCUAAUUUUCAGCUAAGCAACAACAAAAUAUAGAAUAAGAU
This 2601-nucleotide long non-coding RNA is filed under the name Marmota monax (woodchuck). The stretch from base 1662 to 1733 matches the Rfam family "tRNA". Lineage: Eukaryota; Metazoa; Chordata; Mammalia; Rodentia; Sciuridae. The record is from RNAcentral.